RNAcentral lists this ribosomal RNA (141 nucleotides) under uncultured eukaryote. Its description in RNAcentral is "partial 18S ribosomal RNA". It matches the Rfam family "Eukaryotic small subunit ribosomal RNA", at positions 1299 to 1458 of the family's 1831-position model. The record is from RNAcentral.
UGGUGGAGUGGUUUGUCUGGUUAAUUCCGAUAACGAACGAGACCCCGUCCUACUUACUAGACCGAGGAUCCUCUCGUUCUCGCUGUCUUCUUAGAGGGACAACUGCUUAUACUUUGAACUACAUGAAAUGGGGCAAUAACA